GUUCGGCUGAUCUGUUUGAGCAAACCAGAAACUAUCCAAUUGUCUGAAUUCAGAAGUUGCUAUUUAUGGGUUAACUGGAAUGGCAUAAUUGUAUUUGGGAUGGACGUUAUAACGGCAUUAAUCAAAUGGGUUUCCUUUAGGACCAUGACAAUACUUUGUGAGAUAUUCUUUGACUAUAAUUACUAGUUUGAUCCUAAAUCCUUAUUGCUAAAUCUAUCAUUUUCUUAUAUACACUGGUAGGAAUGAUCUAUUGGCCCCCAAUAUUAACAUUUGAAUAAUAUUUGAUUUCCAGCUGGGACUUAGAUCAGUUGGUAGCUGGUAACUUUUUUCCCCCAUAAUUUGAUAUUUCAUUGAGGUAUAUGCUUAAAUGGAACAAUGCUUAAUUGGCUGCUACCAUUUUGAGCAGCUUCAGAUAUCUCUCCGUUCUUUCCAGGUAUCUCCGAAAAACUCAUUUGGUUCCAAAUUUCCUCUUUUCAGGCAUUUCUGGUGAUCCAU
This 495-nucleotide unclassified non-coding RNA is filed under the name Hevea brasiliensis (rubber tree). The record is from RNAcentral. Lineage: Eukaryota; Viridiplantae; Streptophyta; Magnoliopsida; Malpighiales; Euphorbiaceae.